RNAcentral lists this ribosomal RNA (251 nucleotides) under uncultured bacterium. Its description in RNAcentral is "partial 16S ribosomal RNA". It matches the Rfam family "Bacterial small subunit ribosomal RNA", at positions 525 to 775 of the family's 1533-position model. The record is from RNAcentral.
ACGUAGGGGGCAAGCGUUAUCCGGAUUUACUGGGUGUAAAGGGAGCGUAGACGGCGAAGCAAGUCUGAAGUGAAAACCCAGGGCUCAACCCUGGGAGUGCUUUGGAAACUGUUUUGCUAGAGUGUCGGAGAGGUAAGUGGAAUUCCUAGUGUAGCGGUGAAAUGCGUAGAUAUUAGGAGGAACACCAGUGGCGAAGGCGGCUUACUGGACGAUAACUGACGUUGAGGCUCGAAAGCGUGGGGAGCAAACAG